Molecule: ribosomal RNA, 253 nt
Filed under: uncultured bacterium
Lineage: Bacteria
Description: partial 16S ribosomal RNA
Rfam family: Bacterial small subunit ribosomal RNA
Source: RNAcentral
UACGUAGGGUGCGAUCGUUGUCCGGAAUUAUUGGGCGUAAAGAGCUCGUAGGCGGCCUGUCGCGUCGGAUGUGAAAGCCCGGGGCUUAACCCCGGGUUGGCAUUCGAUACGGGCAGGCUAGAGUUCGGUAGGGGAGAUCGGAAUUCCUGGUGUAGCGGUGAAAUGCGCAGAUAUCAGGAGGAACACCGGUGGCGAAGGCGGAUCUCUGGGCCGAUCCUGACGCUGAGGAGCGAAAGCAUGGGGAGCGAACAGG